CCUACGGGGGGCAGCAGUGGGGAAUAUUGGGCAAUGGGCGCAAGCCUGACCCAGCAACGCCGCGUGAAGGAAGAAGGCGUUCGGGUUGUAAACUUCUUUUCUGAGGGACGAAGAAAGUGACGGUACCUCAGGAAUAAGCCACGGCUAACUACGUGCCCGCAGCCGCGGUAAUACGUAGGUGGCAAGCGUAAUCCGGAUUUAUUGGGUGUAAAGGGCGUGUAGGCGGGAAAGCGAGUCAGAUGUGAAAACUCCGGGCUCAACCCUGAGCCUGCAUUUGAAACUGUUUUUCUUGAGUGCUGGAGAGGCAAUCGGAAUUCCGUGUGUAGCGGUGAAAUGCGUAGAUAUACGGAGGAACACCAGUGGCGAAGGCGGAUUGCUGGACAGUAACUGACGCUGAGGCGCGAAAGCGUGGGGAGCAAACAGGAUUAGAUACCCGGGUAGUC
RNAcentral lists this ribosomal RNA (443 nucleotides) under uncultured bacterium. RNAcentral's name for it is "partial 16S ribosomal RNA". It matches the Rfam family "Bacterial small subunit ribosomal RNA", at positions 338 to 795 of the family's 1533-position model. The record is from RNAcentral.